GACGAACGCUGGCGGCGUGCUUAACACAUGCAAGUCGAACGAGAAGAAAUGAGAAGCUUGCUUCUUAUCAAUUCGAGUGGCAAACGGGUGAGUAACGCGUAAGCAACCUGCCCUUCAGAUGGGGGACAACAGCUGGAAACGGCUGCUAAUACCGAAUACGUCUUUUGUCGCAUGGCAGAGGGAAGAAAGGGAGGCUCUUCGGAGCUUUCGCUGAAGGAGGGGCUUGCGUCUGAUUAGCUAGUUGGAGGGGUAACGGCCCACCAAGGCGACGAUCAGUAGCCGGUCUGAGAGGAUGAACGGCACAUUGGGACUGAGACACGGCCCAGACUCCUACGGA
RNAcentral lists this ribosomal RNA (337 nucleotides) under uncultured bacterium. Its description in RNAcentral is "bacterial SSU rRNA". It matches the Rfam family "Bacterial small subunit ribosomal RNA", at positions 28 to 345 of the family's 1533-position model. The record is from RNAcentral.